GGGCUCGUAGCUCAGCAUGGAUAGAGCGCCUGCCUUCUAAAUUCUAUUGAAGAGAGCCGGAAGUCGUGGGAUCGAAGCCCACCGGGCCCG
RNAcentral lists this transfer RNA (90 nucleotides) under Candidatus Nitrososphaera gargensis Ga9.2. It matches the Rfam family "tRNA". From Rfam's summary of the family: Transfer RNA (tRNA) molecules are approximately 80 nucleotides in length. Their secondary structure includes four short double-helical elements and three loops (D, anti-codon, and T loops). Lineage: Archaea; Thermoproteati; Nitrososphaerota; Nitrososphaeria; Nitrososphaerales; Nitrososphaeraceae. The record is from Rfam by way of RNAcentral.